GCAAAUGUUAUUAUCUCUGUUAUGGUGCUAGGUUAUAUGACAAGCUCGCAGUCGGGGACUGGGCAAGCCUUGACUCUGCAGCCAGCAGCAGCUGCUCUCCUUGGUUAAAUGCCACACGCCAGCAGCCCCCAGGAUGUGAGGUCCUGGCCAGGAGCACAAGGCCCCUCAGCCAGAUGGGCAAGAGCAAGCGCUGGAAAGCUGCUCCCAUUUCCUUGAGGUAACUCAGACGUCACAGAGGCCUUGUUCAGAGUCACAAGCAGGCAGGGAUAUCAAAGACAUGCCCUGCCUUUGAUAUAGUUGCCAUUUCCUCAUACCGAGUUUCAAAAUCCCCAAUUUUCCUUGGGUAAGGAUCCAAACAAACAUGCUCCUAGGAUGAAAUAUUACCUUUUAUUUGAAGACAUCCCAUCAGGAAAGUUUUGAACGUGUUUCCAUUGUGUAGGUUUGCUGUACAAUUCCAGAUGCUAGAUAUUAGGAAAAACUGGAUAUUAGGAAAGGUUUCUCCUCAGAAAGAGUGGUGAGCUAUUGGACCAGGCUGCCCAGUGAGAUGGUGGAGUCACUGCCCCUGGGGGUGCUCGAGAAACAAGCAGAUGUGGCACAGAGGGACGUGGUUCAGUACGCACUGUGGGGAAGGGUUGAUGUUUGGACUAGGUGAUCUUAGUGGUCUUUUCCAACCUUGCUGAUUCUAUCAUACUUUUCCAGUGCUUGAAAACAUGACAACAUUGCAGAAAGACGACGCUGCAGGUUUACCCCAGACAAAAAGUGAUGUGCUGCUCGGAGAUAAGGAAAUACAGCACGAUAGGUCUCCAAAGGUAGGGGUUCUGAGGAGUCAUGGAUCAUGCGGUGAUGAAGGAGAAGGGGCAGAGAGGAUAAAGAAAAGCUGCAGCUAUGAGGCUUGCCUGAGACAAAUCGGUUAUUACUGCCCUAAAAAUAAAUGCAUUUAUCUGAAACAUUUCCAUAUUUAGAAUACUAAAAUCAGCCAAAUCCAAAACAUUCCUAUUAAAACAUGGAGCUGAUUUCAAUUCCACCCAUAGUGCAGUGAAUUCUCACAAGAAAAUAAAGAUUCUCAGCUCUUGAAAAUAAGUAUUGGCAGUUAUUUCCCCCAGUUGUGUCAUUCUGGUACCUUUCACGAUGAUAAACAGUCAGUUCCUUGUUUGUUACAAACACAG
Gallus gallus (chicken) is the source of this 1166-nucleotide long non-coding RNA. NCBI's taxonomy places the organism in Eukaryota, Metazoa, Chordata, Aves, Galliformes, Phasianidae. The record is from Ensembl.